RNAcentral lists this ribosomal RNA (2893 nucleotides) under Escherichia coli. RNAcentral describes it as "bacterial LSU rRNA". It matches the Rfam family "Bacterial large subunit ribosomal RNA". Lineage: Bacteria; Pseudomonadati; Pseudomonadota; Gammaproteobacteria; Enterobacterales; Enterobacteriaceae. The record is from RNAcentral.
ACUAAGCGUACACGGUGGAUGCCUUGGCAGUCAGAGGCGAUGAAGGACGUGCUAAUCUGCGAUAAGCGUCGGUAAGGUGAUAUGAACCGUUAUAACCGGCGAUUUCCGAAUGGGGAAACCCAGUGUGAUUCGUCACACUAUCAUUAACUGAAUCCAUAGGUUAAUGAGGCGAACCGGGGGAACUGAAACAUCUAAGUACCCCGAGGAAAAGAAAUCAACCGAGAUUCCCCCAGUAGCGGCGAGCGAACGGGGAGCAGCCCAGAGCCUGAAUCAGUAUGUGUGUUAGUGGAAGCGUCUGGAAAGGCGCGCGAUACAGGGUGACAGCCCCGUACACAAAAAUGCACAUGCUGUGAGCUCGAUGAGUAGGGCGGGACACGUGGUAUCCUGUCUGAAUAUGGGGGGACCAUCCUCCAAGGCUAAAUACUCCUGACUGACCGAUAGUGAACCAGUACCGUGAGGGAAAGGCGAAAAGAACCCCGGCGAGGGGAGUGAAAAAGAACCUGAAACCGUGUACGUACAAGCAGUGGGAGCACGCUUAGGCGUGUGACUGCGUACCUUUUGUAUAAUGGGUCAGCGACUUAUAUUCUGUAGCAAGGUUAACCGAAUAGGGGAGCCGAAGGGAAACCGAGUCUUAACUGGGCGUUAAGUUGCAGGGUAUAGACCCGAAACCCGGUGAUCUAGCCAUGGGCAGGUUGAAGGUUGGGUAACACUAACUGGAGGACCGAACCGACUAAUGUUGAAAAAUUAGCGGAUGACUUGUGGCUGGGGGUGAAAGGCCAAUCAAACCGGGAGAUAGCUGGUUCUCCCCGAAAGCUAUUUAGGUAGCGCCUCGUGAAUUCAUCUCCGGGGGUAGAGCACUGUUUCGGCAAGGGGGUCAUCCCGACUUACCAACCCGAUGCAAACUGCGAAUACCGGAGAAUGUUAUCACGGGAGACACACGGCGGGUGCUAACGUCCGUCGUGAAGAGGGAAACAACCCAGACCGCCAGCUAAGGUCCCAAAGUCAUGGUUAAGUGGGAAACGAUGUGGGAAGGCCCAGACAGCCAGGAUGUUGGCUUAGAAGCAGCCAUCAUUUAAAGAAAGCGUAAUAGCUCACUGGUCGAGUCGGCCUGCGCGGAAGAUGUAACGGGGCUAAACCAUGCACCGAAGCUGCGGCAGCGACGCUUAUGCGUUGUUGGGUAGGGGAGCGUUCUGUAAGCCUGUGAAGGUGUGCUGUGAGGCAUGCUGGAGGUAUCAGAAGUGCGAAUGCUGACAUAAGUAACGAUAAAGCGGGUGAAAAGCCCGCUCGCCGGAAGACCAAGGGUUCCUGUCCAACGUUAAUCGGGGCAGGGUGAGUCGACCCCUAAGGCGAGGCCGAAAGGCGUAGUCGAUGGGAAACAGGUUAAUAUUCCUGUACUUGGUGUUACUGCGAAGGGGGGACGGAGAAGGCUAUGUUGGCCGGGCGACGGUUGUCCCGGUUUAAGCGUGUAGGCUGGUUUUCCAGGCAAAUCCGGAAAAUCAAGGCUGAGGCGUGAUGACGAGGCACUACGGUGCUGAAGCAACAAAUGCCCUGCUUCCAGGAAAAGCCUCUAAGCAUCAGGUAACAUCAAAUCGUACCCCAAACCGACACAGGUGGUCAGGUAGAGAAUACCAAGGCGCUUGAGAGAACUCGGGUGAAGGAACUAGGCAAAAUGGUGCCGUAACUUCGGGAGAAGGCACGCUGAUAUGUAGGUGAAGUCCCUCGCGGAUGGAGCUGAAAUCAGUCGAAGAUACCAGCUGGCUGCAACUGUUUAUUAAAAACACAGCACUGUGCAAACACGAAAGUGGACGUAUACGGUGUGACGCCUGCCCGGUGCCGGAAGGUUAAUUGAUGGGGUCAGCGCAAGCGAAGCUCUUGAUCGAAGCCCCGGUAAACGGCGGCCGUAACUAUAACGGUCCUAAGGUAGCGAAAUUCCUUGUCGGGUAAGUUCCGACCUGCACGAAUGGCGUAAUGAUGGCCAGGCUGUCUCCACCCGAGACUCAGUGAAAUUGAACUCGCUGUGAAGAUGCAGUGUACCCGCGGCAAGACGGAAAGACCCCGUGAACCUUUACUAUAGCUUGACACUGAACAUUGAGCCUUGAUGUGUAGGAUAGGUGGGAGGCUUUGAAGUGUGGACGCCAGUCUGCAUGGAGCCGACCUUGAAAUACCACCCUUUAAUGUUUGAUGUUCUAACGUUGACCCGUAAUCCGGGUUGCGGACAGUGUCUGGUGGGUAGUUUGACUGGGGCGGUCUCCUCCUAAAGAGUAACGGAGGAGCACGAAGGUUGGCUAAUCCUGGUCGGACAUCAGGAGGUUAGUGCAAUGGCAUAAGCCAGCUUGACUGCGAGCGUGACGGCGCGAGCAGGUGCGAAAGCAGGUCAUAGUGAUCCGGUGGUUCUGAAUGGAAGGGCCAUCGCUCAACGGAUAAAAGGUACUCCGGGGAUAACAGGCUGAUACCGCCCAAGAGUUCAUAUCGACGGCGGUGUUUGGCACCUCGAUGUCGGCUCAUCACAUCCUGGGGCUGAAGUAGGUCCCAAGGGUAUGGCUGUUCGCCAUUUAAAGUGGUACGCGAGCUGGGUUUAGAACGUCGUGAGACAGUUCGGUCCCUAUCUGCCGUGGGCGCUGGAGAACUGAGGGGGGCUGCUCCUAGUACGAGAGGACCGGAGUGGACGCAUCACUGGUGUUCGGGUUGUCAUGCCAAUGGCACUGCCCGGUAGCUAAAUGCGGAAGAGAUAAGUGCUGAAAGCAUCUAAGCACGAAACUUGCCCCGAGAUGAGUUCUCCCUGACUCCUUGAGAGUCCUGAAGGAACGUUGAAGACGACGACGUUGAUAGGCCGGGUGUGUAAGCGCAGCGAUGCGUUGAGCUAACCGGUACUAAUGAACCGUGAGGCUUAACC